GACGAACGCUGGCGGCGUGCUUAACACAUGCAAGUCGAACGGAAAGGCCCUGCUUUUGUGGUGUGCUCGAGUGGCGAACGGGUGAGUAACACGUGAGUAACCUGCCCUUGACUUUGGGAUAACUUCAGGAAACUGGGGCUAAUACCGGAUAGGAUCUCCUGCUGCAUGGUGGGGGUUGGAAAGUUUCGGCGGUUGGGGAUGGACUCGCGGCUUAUCAGCUUGUUGGUGGGGUAGUGGCUUACCAAGGCUUUGACGGGUAGCCGGCCUGAGAGGGUGACCGGCCACAUUGGGACUGAGAUACGGACCAGACUCCUACGGGAGGCAGCAGUGGGGAAUCUUGCACAAUGGGCGGAAGCCUGAUGCAGAAACGCCGCGUGCGGGAUGACGGCCUUCGGGUUGUAAACCGCUUUCGCCUGUGACGAAGCGUGAGUGACGGUAAUGGGUAAAGAAGCACCGGCUAACUACGUG
RNAcentral lists this ribosomal RNA (468 nucleotides) under uncultured bacterium. RNAcentral's name for it is "partial 16S ribosomal RNA". It matches the Rfam family "Bacterial small subunit ribosomal RNA", at positions 28 to 507 of the family's 1533-position model. The record is from RNAcentral.